GUACCAUGCAGUCAGAACGGUGAGCUCAGCUUGCUGGGUGGAUCAGUGGCAAACGGGUGAGUAACACGUGAGCAACCUGCCCUCCACUUCGGGAUAAGCCUUGGAAACGGGGUCUAAUACCGGAUAUGAGCACUCAUCGCAUGGUGGGUGUUGGAAAGUUUUUCGGUGGGGGAUGGGCUCGCGGCCUAGGGCUUGUUGGUGGGGUGAUGGCCUACCAAGGCGUCAACGGGUAUUGGGCCAUAUAGGUC
Molecule: ribosomal RNA, 248 nt
Filed under: Isoptericola variabilis
Lineage: Bacteria; Bacillati; Actinomycetota; Actinomycetes; Micrococcales; Promicromonosporaceae
Description: partial 16S ribosomal RNA
Rfam family: Bacterial small subunit ribosomal RNA
Source: RNAcentral